RNAcentral lists this ribosomal RNA (463 nucleotides) under uncultured bacterium. RNAcentral describes it as "bacterial SSU rRNA". It matches the Rfam family "Bacterial small subunit ribosomal RNA", at positions 190 to 644 of the family's 1533-position model. The record is from RNAcentral.
GAGGAAGUAGGGGAUCGCAAGACCUUGCGCUUUUGGAGCGGCCGAUGCCUGAUUAGCUUGUUGGUGAGGUAAAAGCUCACCAAGGCUCCGAUCAGUAGCUGGUCUGAGAGGACGACCAGCCACACUGGGACUGAGACACGGCCCAGACUCCUACGGGAGGCAGCAGUGGGGAAUUUUGGACAAUGGGGGCAACCCUGAUCCAGCCAUGCCGCGUGAGUGAAGAAGGCCUUCGGGUUGUAAAGCUCUUUCAGCCGGAACGAAACGGUCACGGUUAAUACCCGUGACUACUGACGGUACCGGAAGAAGAAGCACCGGCUAACUACGUGCCAGCAGCCGCGGUAAUACGUAGGGUGCGAGCGUUAAUCGGAAUUACUGGGCGUAAAGCGUGCGCAGGCGGUUUUGUAAGUCAGAUGUGAAACCCCUGGGCUUAACCUGGGAACUGCGUUUGAAACUACAAAGCUAG